RNAcentral lists this ribosomal RNA (374 nucleotides) under uncultured organism. RNAcentral describes it as "partial 16S ribosomal RNA". It matches the Rfam family "Archaeal small subunit ribosomal RNA", at positions 477 to 851 of the family's 1478-position model. The record is from RNAcentral.
CAGCACCUCAAGUGGUCAGGAGGAUUAUUGGGCCUAAAGCAUCCGUAGCCUGUUCUAUAAGUUUCCGGUUAAAUCCAUUAGCUCAACUAAUGGGCCGCCGAAAAUACUGUGGAACUAGGGAGUGGGAGAGGUAGACGGUACUCGGUAGGAAGGGGUAAAAUCCUUUGAUCUAUUGAUGACCACCUGUGGCGAAGGCGGUCUACCAGAACACGUUCGACGGUGAGGGAUGAAAGCUGGGGGAGCAAACCGGAUUAGAUACCCGGGUGGUCCCAGCUGUAAACGAUGCAGACUCGGUGAUGCGCUGGCUUGUGGCCAGUGCAGUGCCGCAGGGAAGCCGUUAAGUUUGCCGCCUGGGAAGUACGUACGCAAGUAUG